Molecule: ribosomal RNA, 438 nt
Filed under: Yersinia frederiksenii
Lineage: Bacteria; Pseudomonadati; Pseudomonadota; Gammaproteobacteria; Enterobacterales; Yersiniaceae
Description: bacterial SSU rRNA
Rfam family: Bacterial small subunit ribosomal RNA
Source: RNAcentral
CACAUGCAAGUCGAGCGGCAGCGGAAAGUAGCUUGCUACUUUGCCGGCGAGCGGCGGACGGGUGAGUAAUGUCUGGGAAACUGCCUGAUGGAGGGGGAUAACUACUGGAAACGGUAGCUAAUACCGCAUGACCUCGCAAGAGCAAAGUGGGGGACCUUCGGGCCUCACGCCAUCGGAUGUGCCCAGAUGGGAUUAGCUAGUAGGUGGGGUAAUGGCUCACCUAGGCGACGAUCCCUAGCUGGUCUGAGAGGAUGACCAGCCACACUGGAACUGAGACACGGUCCAGACUCCUACGGGAGGCAGCAGUGGGGAAUAUUGCACAAUGGGCGCAAGCCUGAUGCAGCCAUGCCGCGUGUGUGAAGAAGGCCUUCGGGUUGUAAAGCACUUUCAGCGAGGAGGAAGGGGUUGAGUUUAAUACGCUCAAUCAUUGACGUUACU